UGUCAAUCAAAACUAAAGUUGAACUGAUGUCUGUGCCCAGUGGGAUUUGUCAAGACAAACCAUAGCCUACUUUUGCUUUUAGUUCGGAACACUAAAAUCGAACUCUGUAAUUAAUCAAUUCAGUGAACUUGAGUUUACCAUAAUUGCAAUGUUAUAUUCAGACCUGGAUAGGUGGCCUGACUGGUCUCGCACCACGGAGAUGGAUAUUUACACAGACACUAAUUGAUGAAAUGCGUUUAUGCAUAAUCUAUUUGACUCAUCCUGGCAUAAACCCUGGCUGGGUCUCAGUCCAAAAUCAGCAUUUGCCAUGAAUCUGACUACAUUACCCAUAAUGCUCAUUGACUGAACAUCAUGGAAUCAUGGAUACCUUUCCUGUGAGUACUCAAGCGGUGAUUCCCCUGAGGUACAAUAUGAUAAGAACUGGAGACUGGGUCCAAGAUGUCCGACCGUUGUUUUCAAGUCUCAUCCAACUCCCGUACGGACUCAGGAGAGGCGAAGGUCGAGAGCUGUGCGUCCUCCGAAUCACAACCCAACAAAGCCGCACUGCUUCUUGACACAAUGCCCACUUAACCUGGAAGCCAGCCGCACCAAUGUGACAGAGGAAACAUUGUACACCUGGUGAUCAUGUCAGCUUGCACUGUGCCUGGCCCGCCACAGGAGUUGCUAUUGCGCGAUGGGACAAGGACAUCCCUGCCGGCCAAACCCUUCUCUAACCCGGACGACACUGGGCCAAUUGUGUGCCGCCCCAUGGGUCUCCCGGUCACAGCCAGCUGCGACAGGGCCUGGACUCGAACCCAGAAUCUCUAGUGGCACAGCUAGCACUGCGAUGCAGUGCCUUAGAGCACCAUGCCACUCAGGAGGCCUUGUUGAGAUCCCUUUUCGUUGUAUACGUAUGACAUUUUUGUCCCAUGCUUUAGCUAUCUCCAGGCAACACGGACACCAGACAGCAAGCAUCACAUUAUCCAAGUGCUGAAAUUAGGAGACAUCAAUUGGACCAAUACAAAAUCUGAGGGACUGCAUAAUAACUGCCGGAAAUCAUAUUCACAGAACCAUACUUUCUCUGAUCUUUCCUUUUUAUUGGUAUUGUACUUCAUUUUCAGCACCUCAGACAGCACUGUUCACCAGAGGUCGGGACCCCAGAUAGCAUAUGAACAUGUCAUAAGCC
Oncorhynchus tshawytscha (Chinook salmon) is the source of this 1165-nucleotide long non-coding RNA. Lineage: Eukaryota; Metazoa; Chordata; Actinopteri; Salmoniformes; Salmonidae. The record is from Ensembl.